CCUACGGGUGGCAGCAGUGGGGAAUAUUGGACAAUGGGAGCAACCCUGAUCCAGCCAUGCCGCGUGUGUGAAGAAGGCCCUCGGGUUGUAAAGCACUUUCAGUGAGGAAGAACGCCUGGUGGUUAAUACCCAUCAGGAAAGACAUCACUCACAGAAGAAGCACCGGCUAACUCCGUGCCAGCAGCCGCGGUAAUACGGAGGGUGCGAGCGUUAAUCGGAAUUACUGGGCGUAAAGCGCGCGUAGGUGGCUUGAUAAGCCGGUUGUGAAAGCCCCGGGCUCAACCUGGGAACGGCAUCCGGAACUGUCAAGCUAGAGUGCAGGAGAGGAAGGUAGAAUUCCCGGUGUAGCGGUGAAAUGCGUAGAGAUCGGGAGGAAUACCAGUGGCGAAGGCGGCCUUCUGGACUGACACUGACACUGAGGUGCGAAAGCGUGGGUAGCAAACAGGAUUAGAUACCCCUGUAGUC
This 465-nucleotide ribosomal RNA is filed under the name Vreelandella stevensii. RNAcentral describes it as "partial 16S ribosomal RNA". It matches the Rfam family "Bacterial small subunit ribosomal RNA", at positions 338 to 795 of the family's 1533-position model. The record is from RNAcentral. Lineage: Bacteria; Pseudomonadati; Pseudomonadota; Gammaproteobacteria; Oceanospirillales; Halomonadaceae.